Molecule: transfer RNA, 76 nt
Filed under: Helicobacteraceae bacterium
Lineage: Bacteria; Pseudomonadati; Campylobacterota; Epsilonproteobacteria; Campylobacterales; Helicobacteraceae
Description: tRNA-Ala
Rfam family: tRNA
About the family: Transfer RNA (tRNA) molecules are approximately 80 nucleotides in length. Their secondary structure includes four short double-helical elements and three loops (D, anti-codon, and T loops).
Source: RNAcentral
GGGGACAUAGCUCAGAUGGGAGAGCGCUUGCAUGGCAUGCAAGAGGUCGGCGGUUCGAUCCCGCUUGUCUCCACCA